RNA transcript from Rhinopithecus roxellana (golden snub-nosed monkey), 2715 nucleotides. It is a transcript of the gene named unconventional myosin-Ib pseudogene, with no coding region annotated. Lineage: Eukaryota; Metazoa; Chordata; Mammalia; Primates; Cercopithecidae. The transcript has a single exon. The record is from RefSeq and is a predicted model, not a curated record.
CAGUUCAAGGCAUCCGUGGCCACUCUGAUGAAGAACCUACAGACCAAGAACCCAAACUAUAUUAGGUGUAUCAAACCGAAUGAUAAAAAAGCAGCACACAUCUUCACCAAGGCUCUAGUGUGUCAUCAGAUCAGGUACCUGGGGCUUUUGGAGAACGUCCGAGUGCGGAGGGCAGGCUACGCCUUCAGACAGGCCUAUGAACCUUGCCUAGAAAGAUACAAAAUGCUUUGUAAAUAGACAUGGCCUCAUUGGAAAGGACCAGCCAGGUCUGGUGUGGAGGUCCUAUUUAAUGAAUUAGAGAUUCCCAUGGAAGAAUACUCCUUUGGUAGAUCAAAGAUUUUCAUCUGAAACCCAAGAACAUUAUUCAAAUUAGAAGACCUGAGGAAGCAACGCCUGGAGGACUUGGCCACUCUCAUUCAGAAGAUAUACCGGGGGUGGAAAUGCCGCACACACUUCCUGCUAAUGAAAAAAAGCCAAAUUGGGAUUGCUGCCUGGUAUAGGAGAUAUGCGCAACAAAAGAGGUACCAGCAGACAAAGAGUUCCGCCUUAGUAAUUCAGUCUUAUAUCCGGGGCUGGAAGGCUCGAAAAAUUCUGCGGGAACUGAAGCAUCAAAAGCGCUGUAAGGAAGCAGUCACGACCAUUGCUGCAUAUUGGCAUGGGACCCAGGUACGUAGAGAAUACAGGAAAUUCUUCAGAGCCAAUGCCGGAAAGAAAAUCUAUGAGUUCACGCUUCAGAGAAUUGUGCAAAAAUACUUCUUGGAAAUGAAAAAUAAGAUGCCUUCCUUAUCUCCAAUAGACAAGAAUUGGCCCUCAAGACCUUACUUAUUCUUGGAUUCUACUCACAAGGAGCUAAAAAGGAUUUUCCACUUGUGGAGGUGUAAAAAAUACAGGGACCAAUUCACAGACCAGCAGAAACUUAUUUAUGAAGAGAAACUAGAAGCCAGUGAACUCUUCAAAGACAAGAAAGUUUAUACCCAUCUAGUGUUGGGCAACCAUUCCAAGGGGCUUACCUGGAAAUCAACAAGAACCCCAAGUAUAAGAAACUCAAAGAUGCCAUUGAAGAAAAGAUUAUCAUUGCUGAAGUCGUGAACAAAAUUAACCGUGCUAAUGGGAAGAGUACAUCUCGGAUUUUCCUCUUAACAAAUAAUAAUCUCCUUGCUGACCAAAAGCCUGGACAAAUCAAGUCAGAGGUUCCCUUGGUGGAUGUGACCAAGGUAUCAAUGAAGUCACAAAAUGAUGGCUUCUUCGCCGUCCACCUCAAAGAGGGCUCAGAAGCAGCUAGUAAAGGAGAUUUUCUCUUCAGCAGUGAUCACCUGAUUGAAAUAGCCACCAAGCUCUAUCGCACAACUCUCAGCCAAACCAAACAGAAGCUCAAUAUUGAGAUUUCUGAUGAGUUCCUGGUACAGUUCAGACAAGACAAAGUAUGUGUGAAGUUUAUUCAGGGAAACCAGAAAAAUGGGAGUGUCCCAACAUGUAAACGAAAAAACAACCGUCUCCUUGAAGUUGCUGUCCCUUAACUGGCGCCUCCUCUCUACUUUCAUGGACUUGUUUCUUUGUAAUAGUGCAAUUUGGUUUUGUUUUAUUUGGGGUUCAUUGUAUGUUUGGGAAUCACCAAAGGCUUUUAGAGUUCUUUGGCAAAAUAAAAAUAUUUGACUAAUCAAUUUUUAUUAUCGGAAUAGUUUUAACCUUUCAUGUUCGGUCCUGGAGCAGGAUUGUAGAAACUAACAGUGUCUAUUUUCAUGUCUGAUGUGUUCUUCGUUUAGUCAUCAUGUUAAAUCUGUGUACCCUAAAUCAGCAUAUUACUCAUAAAUCAUUAAUUCAUAUAAGUAUAGGAAAUGGUCUUAAAAGAUACUGCAUUCAUUCAUCAAAUAUUUAUUCCAUGCUUACUCUAUGCUAGGCCCUGUGCUAGAUGGUAUGAAAACUUAUUAGGAACCUUUUUGUUUUUGAGACCAUUGCAUUCUGGCUGAUUUGUGCUGGUUUAACGACAUCUAAGAAGGUUUAGAAAUGUUGAGACCAAAACAAUAACUGUUAAUGAUGGACAGCAUUAUUAGGAACCCUGUAGUAUGAUAUUUAACAAUAUAGGCUUCAAGAAGGGCUGGUCCUAAGAGGGGGCAGAGAUGAACAACAGGGUUAAAUCCCUCUACAUGUGGUUUCUGUUUGAAAAAAAGAAAACUGACAUUUGAACAGACUUUUAAUUUGUUUAAACCUCUGGUAAUUACUUGUAACAGUAGAAAAUAGAAAUCUUUCUUAUUUUAGAAAAAGUGACAGAAGCAGUCCAGUAAGAUUAUAUGUUUCUGUUUCUGGUAAAUGUCAUAUAUGAUCCUCGAAAUGAUAAUAUCUCCAGAAUAUUGUUUUCACCCAAAUUUGAGUAGAUAUUUUAAACACCUAACAAAGUAAAGGGCUAAAAGCCAUUCGGAUAGCAGUAAACAUUCUGUAUGAUGUGCAAUAAAACAUCCAAGAUCUUUUUUGAAAGUUUUAUUUAUAAUACACAUUUUUGUAUGAGAAAGGUGAUUGGUACAGGGUCCCUAUUUUAGUCAUGGAUCAAAAUUAAAUUUAUGUAAUUUGCAGGGCUUGCUUUCUAUUCCUUCAAAUUUAUAAGGGUUCAUUUUGGAAACUACAUUUUAAACUUUGGAAUCAAAUUGUUUCUUAUUUGGGAGGAUAAUGUAUAUACAUUGGUAUUAUGUUAAAUAAUAAAAUUGUUCUAAUUUGGUGCCA